Molecule: ribosomal RNA, 815 nt
Filed under: uncultured bacterium
Lineage: Bacteria
Description: bacterial SSU rRNA
Rfam family: Bacterial small subunit ribosomal RNA
Source: RNAcentral
AGAGUUUGAUCAUGGCUCAGGACGAACGCUGGCGGCGUGCCUAAUACAUGCAAGUUGAACGCUGAAGCUUUAACUGAUGCUUGCAUCGACCUAAGCUUUCAGAGUAGCGGACGGGUGAGUAACACGUGGGUAACCUGCCCAUCAGAGGGGGAUAACACUUGGAAACAGGUGCUAAUACCGCAUAAUUCCUUUUACCGCAUGGUAAAAGGCUGAAAGACGCUUCUGGUGUCACUGAUGGAUGGACCCGCGGUGCAUUAGCUAGUCGGUGGGGUAACGGCCUACCGAGGCAAUGAUGCAUAGCCGACCUGAGAGGGUGAUCGGCCACAUUGGGACUGAGACACGGCCCAAACUCCUACGGGAGGCAGCAGUAGGGAAUCUUCGGCAAUGGACGAAAGUCUGACCGAGCAACGCCGCGUGAGUGAAGAAGGUUUUCGGAUCGUAAAACUCUGUUGUUAGAGAAGAACAAGAGAAGUAGUAACUGGCUUCUCCUUGACGGUAUCUAACCAGAAAGCCACGGCUAACUACGUGCCAGCAGCCGCGGUAAUACGUAGGUGGCAAGCGUUGUCCGGAUUUAUUGGGCGUAAAGCGAGCGCAGGCGGUCUUUUAAGUCUGAUGUGAAAGCCCUCGGCUUAACCGAGGAGGGUCAUUGGAAACUGGGAGACUUGAGUGCAGAAGAGGAAAGUGGAACUCCAUGUGUAGCGGUGGAAUGCGUAGAUAUAUGGAAGAACACCAGUGGCGAAGGCGGCUUUCUGGUCUGUAACUGACGCUGAGGCUCGAAAGCGUGGGGAGCAAACAGGAUUAGAUACCCUGGUAGU